This 479-nucleotide ribosomal RNA is filed under the name uncultured Planctomycetota bacterium. RNAcentral describes it as "bacterial SSU rRNA". It matches the Rfam family "Bacterial small subunit ribosomal RNA", at positions 364 to 833 of the family's 1533-position model. Lineage: Bacteria; Pseudomonadati; Planctomycetota. The record is from RNAcentral.
UUUCGCAAUGCCCGAAAGGGUGACGAAGCGACGCCGCGUGUGGGAAGAAGGCCUUCGGGUUGUAAACCACUGUCAGGAGUUAGGAAAUGUAAGGGUGCUAAUAGUAUCCUUACUUGACUAAGGCUCCGGAGGAAGCCACGGCUAACUCUGUGCCAGCAGCCGCGGUAAUACAGAGGCGGCAAGCGUUGUUCGGAAUUAUUGGGCGUAAAGAGCACGUAGGCGGCUAUGUAAGUCGGUUGUGAAAGCCUUCCGCUCAACGGGAGAACAGCAUCCGAUACUGCAUGGCUUGAGUGCGGGAGGGGAGAGUGGAACUUCUGGUGGAGCGGUGAAAUGCGUAGAUAUCAGAAGGAACGCCGGCGGCGAAAGCGGCUCUCUGGCCCAUAACUGACGCUGAGUGUGCGAAAGCUAGGGGAGCAAACGGGAUUAGAUACCCCGGUAGUCCUAGCCGUAAACGAUGGGCACUAAGUAGAGGGGUUUUA